This 372-nucleotide ribosomal RNA is filed under the name uncultured eukaryote. RNAcentral describes it as "partial 18S ribosomal RNA". It matches the Rfam family "Eukaryotic small subunit ribosomal RNA", at positions 592 to 975 of the family's 1831-position model. The record is from RNAcentral.
CAAUAGCGUAUAUUAAAGUUGUUGCAGUUAAAAAGCUCGUAGUUGAAUUUUUGCUUGCCGCCGAUGUCGGAACUUCCGUACGUUCGGCGGCGUGCAUCCUUGGGUGGAACCUGUGUGGCAUUGGGUUGUCGUGCAGGGGAUGCUCAUCGUUUACUGUGAAAAAAUUAGAGUGUUCAAAGCAGGCUUACGCCGUUGAAUAUAUUAGCAUGGAAUAAUAAGAUAGGACCUUGGUACUAUUUUGUUGGUUUGCGCACCGAGGCAAUGAUUAACAGGGACAGUUGGGGGUAUUCGUAUUCCAUUGUCAGAGGUGAAAUUCUUGGAUUUCUGGAAGACGAACUACUGCGAAAGCAUUUACCAAGGAUGUUUNCAUUA